Long non-coding RNA from Mytilus californianus (California mussel), 255 nucleotides. RefSeq lists it as uncharacterized. The transcript is spliced from 2 exons. NCBI's taxonomy places the organism in Eukaryota, Metazoa, Mollusca, Bivalvia, Mytilida, Mytilidae. The record is from RefSeq and is a predicted model, not a curated record.
AAUUGCUUCGCCGAGCGCAGCUGGAUACAACCGCAGAGGUCCAACCCUGAACAGUUGGGGCAAAAAUGGACACAAUAUUCGCACUUGAUACAGGUUUGAAUUUGGAUUGUAAUUAAAUAUUUGACACAUAAUAGGUUUCUGCCACAGAAUAACUGUAGUCAAAGAACUGAAAAAAAAAAUGGUUAUAUGAUUUGAAUUUAUAUUCAAUUUUUUGCUUUUGUGCAAUACACUAUGCUGUUGCAAAUUGACCCCCUC